This 375-nucleotide ribosomal RNA is filed under the name uncultured organism. RNAcentral's name for it is "bacterial SSU rRNA". It matches the Rfam family "Bacterial small subunit ribosomal RNA", at positions 526 to 896 of the family's 1533-position model. The record is from RNAcentral.
CGGAGGGUGCGAGCGUUGUCCGGAAUCAUUGGGCGUAAAGGGCGCGUAGGUGGCCCGGUCAGUCUUUGGUGAAAGCGCGGGGCUCAACCCUGCGUCGGCCAGGGAUACUGCCGCGGCUCGAGCGCUGUAGAGGCAGGCGGAAUUCCGGGUGUAGCGGUGGAAUGCGUAGAGAUCCGGAAGAACACCGGUGGCGAAGGCGGCCUGCUGGGCAGUUUGGCUGACACUGAGGCGCGACAGCGUGGGGAGCAAACAGGAUUAGAUACCCUGGUAGUCCACGCCGUAAACGAUGGGCACUAGGCGCUUGGGGGAGCGACCCCCCGAGGGCCGGCGCUAACGCAUUAAGUGCCCCGCCUGGGGAGUACGGCCGCAAGGCUG